GGAGAAUAUUAAAUCACUUUAUCAUAAAAAUUUAUUCAGUUUUGCACAACCAAAUAUAAACCAACAAGCUCAGAAAGACAAUCCCAAGGAAUAACACGAGACAAUUUAGACAUCUCUUCUAGGACCAGAUCUAAAAGAAAAACUAUACCAACCAAAACCUACUGGAAAGAGCCGCUUAUAUUAAAACAUACAUCUAGUUCUAUGGAUCUCAUAAAAUUUCAGUCAAUCAAGAAUUCCGGUAGUUUCUUCAAAAAACCUAAUGGCCAAAAUGCACCUAGCAAAUCUAUGUAACUGACCACCUUUCAAUAUCUUUCCCCAAACCGAAAGAACAAUGAUCCAGUACCAGUAUUAUGAUCAACAGCAUACUCUGCACGCACCAAACCCAGCUUGACACCAACACCAUAUGAUGAACCAUGACCCAUUCUCCUGUAGACCUCUGUUGGGUUCCCCUUGACAUCCUUAGAAGUUCCCAGAUCAUUUCCAUGCUCUGCAAAUGCAUACAAGUGCGUUUUUCCCACAGGUAUCCGUAUUUCAGCUCCAAGCUCAAUGAUGUUUCUAGCUGCUCCCAAUUCACCCAUAUUGUAGCCUCUCACAGAAUAAGGUCCCCCAAGGGUAAAAGCAUCAUAACUUGGAAGAUCUCCUACACAACCGCCAUAAUGACCAUGCAGGACUAGUACGGGUGGUGGUGAUUUACCAGCACCUUCCUCCACUUGCUUCAACUGUACAAAUCGUGUGAUGGUUAGUUGGUGACGGUUAAAGAAAGGAAACUUGCUGCCAAUUCCAAGGCCUUGGUCCACCUGAAACACAUUCCUCUCACCAACUAUAGCUCCAUUUAUGAAUUUGGUGUUGUCACGUGUGACAUUUGCUUGUAGAAAUGCCAUUCGGUCAAUGCCGGUACCACUGAGGGUUGUUGGAGGCCCAUCUGCACUAAUUCCACCACUUGGCAACACUCUUUGGCCAUGAGCAGAGAUAUGACUGCUUUCAUCACGUGUUGUUAUCUCUUCCAUCACAAUUCCAUAAGUGAAUUUACUCUGACGGGUGAAAUUCUCUGUAAUGUUAGCUUUGAAGCCAGCACGAUCAACCCAGAUAGGAGGGACUUCAUCCACUUCCGGCCCACCAGUGAAGACUGGACUUAGUUUCCUGCUGUUAAAGCAGCUUGCACGGAGAGUACGGUUGCGUGGAUUAUAUACACCAUCCAAAUAUGGAUGAACAUACUCAAGCUUAAAAGCAAGAUCAUCCUGAGGGAAGAAGAAAUUGCUGGUGGUUAUUGAACCAAGAAUGGAUCGAUUAAGCCCUUUGAUAUUCCGAUGUUCAAAAGAAACAGUUCCACCCGGCUGGAAUGAAGCCAAUGUGGGACGCCCUCCACGUCCAGGAACAAUACUCCACUCAGUGCUAACUUCAGCUGAUUUUGGCUCUAGUUCUUUAAGUUUAAUCUCAACAAUUAUUCCUCCCUCAUUCUUCUCAUCAGGCCUUGGAUUCACCUCAAUAUUCGAAAAUAAGGCCAAUGAGUUUAUGUUCCUGAGAGCUUGUUUCCCAGCUUCAAUGUUAAAAACUUUACCUUUUCGAAGCUGUUUGGGCAAUUCUCUCUUGACAACAGAAAGCUGUGUGUUCCCUUCGACAACAUUCCCAAGCUUAUCUAGGAACUGAAUGACCAACUGGGUAAUAUCCCCUUCCACCACUUCACAGACCACCUCCUUGGUAUUCAAAUUCCCAAAAUUCACAACCUGAGCACACGCAUAACCUUCAUCAUGGUACCAUUUCUGCACUCUAUCCCUAAUCUUCUGCAGCAACCUUGCGCUAACCUUCCCCUGGUCUCUCAGCAUCUGAAGCACCUCCGUCUGCACCGCCAUUGGUAACAAACAAGGCCUCGCCUUCUCUAUCCUCCUCUUGUAAUCCUUCUCCUGACUCCUGUAAUACUCCAGCUUCUCUUUGUCGGUCAUAUCUGGAUCCAUUUCAAUGGGUUUCGAUUGCGUCAUUAAUCCUACAUUGAUGCACCUAAACUUAUCAGCUGAUUGCCAGGUGCUUUCUGCAAAUGAUAUAGUUAUGCCUAGGGUUCCGUCUGGAUUAGUUUUUCCUUCAAUGUCUACUUUCUCAAACAUUCCGCAAGUCGCUAGCGUUUCGAGUUCCUUCUGGAGCUGUGCUUUGGUGUAAAUUCCACCAGGUCGUAGAGAGACCAUCUCAAAGAAGGAGUCUUCAGUGCCCACGGUAGCCCAUCGCCGCCGAUCGAAGAAGAGGAUUUCUGAAAUUUUAUACUUCUUGAAGCCACUCAGUUUAUUUAGCUGAACAACAAUGUCGGCCGGAAGACCAUGUGAAUCCCACUCCUGUGACUGCGACUCGUCCGCAAUUGCCGGCGCCAGAGAAAACAGUCUCUUCCAGAACCCUCCUCCCUCACCAAAACCAUCUCCUCGUCCACCUCCACCUCCACCGCCACCUCCGAACCAAUCGCCGCCAUUAUCACCGCCGAAGUUGCGAGGGCCGUCGUUAAUAAUUGGGGUGAGUCGGAGGAGGAGAGUGGCGACGGAAGCGCCAGCGCCAGCAAGGGUUAGAGGCUUUGACAAGGAUUUAAGGAUGGAAUUGUGUGAAUUGGAAUUACGGGGUGUAGGGUUUUGAAAGGAUGAAGGUAAGGAAGAAGAGGAGGAAAGAUCGCAUUUGAAGGAGAAAGCACGUGAGGGGGCGGUAGCACUAGCACAUGACUUGCGGCGGGGGGAUAAGGACGAAGAGGAGGAGAGUGGAGCGUUGGCUAUGAGGUUGGUGGGUGCUGCCAAAGAGUACAUGGCUCUAUGGAGGGAUAAGGAGGAGGAAGGAUAAAUGUAGACAAUGAGAAAUGGGGUUUAGCAGUCGACUGGUAAGGAGAAGAGUAGUUGGGUUUGGGGCAACUGAGAUUUAUGGACGCACCCAGGUUGAGCCUCGGUUGAACCCUUGGGUUGGGUUUGUCUGCUCCCGCGUAUGAGCCUUGGACAGAGGCGAGAUUAUCAAUGUUGUAAUUAGGUCUAGAAUCAAGUUAUUUACUCGAUCGACCGAAUUUUAAUAAAUGAAUUUGUAUAAUUUAUAAUUGAAUUUGAAUUACCUGUAGUCAAUAAAUAAUACACGUGCAGAAUCAUAUAUAUCUCUCUCUAAUAGUUUAGAGAGAGAAUUUUCUCUCGAAUGGGCUUAUCUUUAGGACCUCGGUCUCGUUGUCUGCCGCGAUCUUCGUCGGCUGUUCUCUGCCCUUACGGGCGGGGAACAACUCUUCUUUCCCCUGCCCGGAUGUGGGUCGCCCUCAGUUUCUAUGGAUGGAUUGUAUAUACUCUUUUGUGUUUUCUAUUUGUUGCAUGCACAUAUAAUUGAUAAGUAGAGGGUCUUUUGAGAAAUCUGCGAUGUUUAUGGAUAUCUUGUGCAGCGGUGGUGGGUCUGUCCUCUAGGUAGUGAUUUCAUUCGCUAAGUUUAGGCUCUGUGUUAGGAGGUUCAUUUUAGUGGGUAUGGCAUCUCUGGGGACUCUCUGUCUUGCUACUGGUUAGUAUCUUGUCCUUGAUAGCUGAUGCUAAAGAGCUCUACCAUACCGCUCCUAACAUGACUGAGAUUGGUCCCUGUUGAGGCAAAAGAGAUGGCCUAUGCCCUCGUUGAUGUUGGAGAUCUAAUCUGUAGCCUCGCCUGAGCAUCAGUGUGCCUUUUAUCUAUUGGUGCGAUGAUUUCUCUAGUUUAGAUUCUAUGGAUCCCAUCAUUAAAUUGUCUGCUACACUUGCGAAGAAGGUGAUGUCUAUCUGCUAUGCUUGUGAAGAUAGUGACAGUUAGGGCUCCAAAGCUUUGCGAUGAAGAUGAGACCCGGCUUGUUUCUCAUGGGUCGAUUAUUUUGAAUUUGGGAGCUCCAUUUUUAAGCGAUGGGUAAAGUUUCUUUUGCUUCUUGGGUCUCUCUGUAAUGAGCCUGGCUGGGCUUUAAUCAGCUUUACAUGUAUUGGUUUUUAUUAUUUUAUCCAUUAAUGAAUCAUAUCCUAACUUUUGAAAUAAAA
This 3986-nucleotide unclassified non-coding RNA is filed under the name Hevea brasiliensis (rubber tree). The record is from RNAcentral. Lineage: Eukaryota; Viridiplantae; Streptophyta; Magnoliopsida; Malpighiales; Euphorbiaceae.